This 273-nucleotide ribosomal RNA is filed under the name uncultured bacterium. RNAcentral's name for it is "partial 16S ribosomal RNA". It matches the Rfam family "Bacterial small subunit ribosomal RNA", at positions 523 to 796 of the family's 1533-position model. The record is from RNAcentral.
AUACGGAGAGGGCGAGCGUUGUUCGGAUUUACUGGGCGUAAAGGGCAUGUAGGUGUCCCGAUAAGCUCUGGGUGAAAUCUCCGCGCUCAACGCGGAAACGAAUCAGAGAACUAUCGGGAUUGAGUUCAGGAGAAGAGAGUGGAAUUCUCAGUGUAGCGGUGAAUGCGUAGAUAUUGAGAAGAACACCAGCGGCGAAGGCGGCUCUCUAUUCUGAAACUGACACUCAAAUGCGAAAGCGUGGGGAGCGAAUGGGAUUAGAUACCCCGGUAGUCC